Ctenopharyngodon idella (grass carp) is the source of this 2525-nucleotide long non-coding RNA. RefSeq lists it as uncharacterized. Lineage: Eukaryota; Metazoa; Chordata; Actinopteri; Cypriniformes; Xenocyprididae. The record is from RefSeq and is a predicted model, not a curated record. The transcript has 3 exons.
GAUGAACACGGAAAAAUCUGAUGGCUGUUGUACCUCAUCACCACUGCCAUAAAUCUCACACAUCGUUCCUCUGCUGAAACAGUGCAGCCAGUGCAACGGUUUCCCCCUGAGGUCCAGCAUGUUACAGAAGACCCGACCACCCAAUGGAUAAAUGGGUAAAAUUCAUCACAGUGGCUCAGGAGAGCCAUGAUCCUCUUACGUUCAUGUUAGAGUUUUCCCGUCUUGCUGUCACCAGCCAGGUCGAGGAGGAAGCCCUAAAGACCCUGUUCUGGAUCGGGGCGAACUUUCACAGCCCCAUCAACCUCCCAGACACCACCGGACUGAACUGGAGGGAAGCCGUGCUGAUGUGUCUGGAGAGCAUGCACCCCGAUCCAGAACCCAGCCAAGCCCAGUGCUCAGCCAGAAACCCACGGACGGCGAGGAAAGACAGCUUCUACUCACCACAGAUGGAGUUAAUGACUCCACCGCAAUGUUAGAGCCUGCGCUAAGAGGAGCGACCGAGCUUGACAUCACACCGGAGCCUGAGGGGAGUCCAUCUGAGGAAAGGUCUGAGUCGGCUGUCCCAUCAUGCGCCGAGGGAGUAGGUGUCGGAGUCGAGGGGUUGGUCAGAAGCCCCGCCCACCCGCCCGUCACUGAGAGUGAGUUUCUGGACAACAACACAGACUCAACCCUUCAUCUGCCUAACUGUUCUAUAUUGGAUUGACUGGUCCCACCCAGCCUUCCUCUCCCACCUCCCUCAGGGCGUGAGGAUCCCGUGGCUCCGCCUCCAGCUUCUGAUCGUGUCAUUCCACCUCGACCCGUCGCCCUGACUUCUCCACUUGUGCUCCUCCCUCCCUCGAUGUCUGCAGGGACCUUCGAGCGUUCGGCUUCGCUGAGCUCCCUCAGAUCAUCGGCUUCACCUGAGUCAGACAUCGCGUCACCUUCGCCACAGACUUGCGGGCCGUCCGUUGCUCUCCGGCCCUCCACCCCUACAGCUCUGGCUAGCUCCGCUCUCCCUCAGGCUCCACCUCCGCCCUCGGUCACUCCAGCUACACUUCAGCCCUCCGGAUCCCUGCAUCCAUCUCGGGGGGUCGUCGUUGCGGCUCCGUCGUGGUCGUUUGGGUCUUCGGCAUCACUCCACUCCAUCAGCCCUCCAUCUGCGCUGUGGGUUCCUUCUUCUUCGUCGCUCGUCCCCAAGGUGGCGCUGAAGCCUUCACCACCAUGGCUCCUCCCUCCAGUGCCGCCGCCAUGGUCCACCAUCCUGGCUGUGGCCUGGGCCAACCUCGUGCUCCUCCUCCCAGUUGGCCGUCCUCCUCCAGAGCCACCUCCUGCAUCAUCUGUCAUCUCACCAUCACUCCGUCCACCUCCAGAAGGAUGGUAUCAGCAUCUGCUAACUCAGACAUGUGGAAUGACAUCUGAUUCUUGACAUGGAAAAAGGGCUGUUCAGUUCAUACUUUGAGCUGGAAACUGAUGGGAGAAUGUGAAUUCUCAGAGUUUAAACACAGACAUGAACUUUUCAUUUGAAGGCAGAUUGUUCUCUGGAGGAUGUCAGUAAAGUCAAAAGUUAUCAUAGAAAACAUGUUGCUGGUCGUUUGAUCAAAACGAUUACACAGAAAAGACAUAGUGAUUUUCUAAUCUCUGCUGCCCUGAAAUUAUUCUAAUUUCUAAAAUAUUCAAAGCUAAUUUGUAUGUAAGUGAUUCACCCUCAUUUGUAAGUCACUUUGGUUAAAAGCAUCUGCUAAUUAAAUGAAUGUAAAUGUAAGUUUUAUUUGAUGUACAUUUACCAGCUCUGAUUUAAUUACAAAUUACGUAAUUUGCUGCAUUCACGCCAUGGUGUAAUUACCUUAGUCUCCAGAUGAUGUGAUGUUAUAUUCUGAGUUGUUCACAUCCUUGGACUGGGAAUUAUGCGUUUCUAUGGCACCACUAUCAACGUGAAUAAUGAAUCUGCAGUGGUCAGGUGUUUACAGCGAUCACGUGGUACAAGUAGGAGCUCUCAGAAGAUUUCCAAGCUGUAAUUACAAGCUCUACGAGGACGUAAAUCCUUUUUAAAUGUUGAAAUCACAUAAUUGUUGUAAUUGUGACAUGUUGUGAACGCACCUAUUGGCUAGUUGCACAUUUUGAAAAUAUAGAGUUAAUGUAGUAAAAUUGUAGAUGAAGUUAGCAACUUUUUUAAAAGAGUAGUUUAACUGUAGUUUAAGCCUUUAAAGCCUGACACAUAAAAUAAGUUAGAAAAGUCAGUUUAUUGAGGCAUUAGACAAUAUAUUUAUUUAUACUAUGGGACUGGAGUAACAUGCAACUGGUCAUUACCAUAGGCAUCAACAAGAAGUCGCUCAACCCAUUCCAAAUACAUGUCUUCAUCGUGACCUCAUUCCAGGAGACCUAAUGGCACAGUUCCAAAAUCUCCACAAAAUCCUCCAAAGGAUCAAGACACAUCCGUAUCCAAUGUUUGCUUCACUUCCUGUCUCCUGAGACCUUCAUCUGAUUUUGGAGGUUUUUGAAGGCAGCAUAGAUCCUUCACUGCCUUUGAUAUCCCACAAUCCUGUGUG